Long non-coding RNA from Perognathus longimembris pacificus (Pacific pocket mouse), 796 nucleotides. RefSeq lists it as uncharacterized. The record is from RefSeq and is a predicted model, not a curated record. Lineage: Eukaryota; Metazoa; Chordata; Mammalia; Rodentia; Heteromyidae. The transcript has 2 exons.
GAUCCUGGGUUAUAUUUUUUAUGUUUUACAAUGAUGACCAGAGAGCAAUUUGGGUUACUUAUGAGGUUUCUACAUAAUUGUCCACAAUCAGACAACUUAAAGGAGGAAAUCACAUUUAUUUCAGAAGACACACACACACCCACGUCUAUCAAUUACCCUUUCCCACAAAAGACACUCUCCGUUUACAACUUCAUAUUAGAUACUAUGAGGAAAAUACUCCUUUGAUAUUAUACAUGAUUAUACUGUAUGACUUCUGUAAUACUAUUUAAAGUUGCACUGAUAAGGAGGCAAAAUCACUGGUAUUACUCACAGGGACGAUAGAUGUACCACUCAGAAGGAGAGGAAAAAACAGUGUGGACAGAGCAUGGAAUCCAGGAAUCAAGCUAACUUAAGAGGAGGGCACUAUUGGAUGUAAAAUGUCAGAAGUGAUUUUAAGAUAAGCAUUCCCCAAACAUUCGGAGUACUGAAGGAGAAGAUCCACUCAAGGUGCCAGUGAACUGAACCAAAAGUUGAUUAUACAGUCACUGAAACAGACAUGGAAGCAGCACUAGUAUAAAAGGACAAAAAAAAAAAAAAACCCUUAGGUUUAUUAUGAUUAGGAGCUUUUUAGGUUCUUGUGUUGAUGUUCUGGUGUGGAGAAUAUGGUCCCUUGAAGGUUCAGGAUGGACAGGCUCUGCAGCAAAUAUAUUUACAGUAGUAACAAGCCUUGUAAAGUUAGGAACAGUGAGAUUAUAAAUGACCGUUUAUUAAGUUCUGAGAAAACAUUAAUAGGUAUAAAAGAAAAAAACUUCAAAUU